Molecule: transfer RNA, 76 nt
Filed under: Pseudomonadota bacterium
Lineage: Bacteria; Pseudomonadati; Pseudomonadota
Also listed under: 2 other names
Description: tRNA-Lys
Rfam family: tRNA
About the family: Transfer RNA (tRNA) molecules are approximately 80 nucleotides in length. Their secondary structure includes four short double-helical elements and three loops (D, anti-codon, and T loops).
Source: RNAcentral
GGGCGAUUAGCUCAGUUGGUAGAGCAGAUGACUCUUAAUCAUCGGGUCGCAGGUUCGAAUCCUGCAUCGCCCACCA